AUCGUCCUUCCUCAAGACCUGAACCAAAGUCAGAGAAUCAAGCUCAACAUCAACCUUUCGAAACCCCUCCAUCCAACAGAUCUCCAACUCAACUAAAGCCCCCCAUAUUUGAGCUUCAAACACACUGCCAUAGCCAAUGUCUUUGCAAUAACCCACCAACCAUCUCCCUUCCUCAUCUCAAACCACACCGCAACACCUUAUCCUCUUCUCCAAACCCUUACAAGCUCUAUCAGAGUUUUGCUUUACCCACCCUCCCUUGGUGGGAACCAUCUUAUGAAGCUUCCCACUUUACAUCCACCCAAAUCCCCUCCAACCUCUUCCAUGGCCUAUUUCAUAUUCUUGACAAAACCCAAAAUCCGAUGACAAUACCCAUUAAUAUUCAGAGGUUUGCUUAGCUCGCCAAAGAUUUUCCUGUUCCUCUCUUUCCAAAUCACCCAGCAUGUACCUCCAAAUACUAAGUACCGAGGAAGACCACCGCUCUUCUCCCUUCGGCAGGAUAAAUUUAGAAGUAACCAAUCUCUCAAUUCUAGGGAAAAAAACCCCGACUUCAACUUACUAGGGGAUGGAAGAAGACAUCAACAGCAUAGGUAAGAAGAGAAAGAAAUCAUCAAGCAAACCUCCAAUAAUAGCAAACCAACUACUCGGCCUUCACACACGAAAAGAAGGGAGGAGGAGAUCGUGGUUCCAUCAAGCUUUCAGCAGCAGUAUUUUUUUACUGCACUCACACAUACUAGUAAACAAGAGAAGAAAGAGAAAGGAAGAGUGGAAGAAACAAAAGGCCUGACCGAGAUGAAUGACAGAGGAAGAAGAAUGGAGAGUAAAGGUUGGUGGAAGCUUGAAGAACUCUCUUUCUCUCUCGCGCUCAUUCACUCUGCUUUUGUCUCUCGUUCGCUUUGUUUCUGUCUCUUUUUAUCAACAAAGAGGAGGAAGAUUUAAGUAAAAAGACAAUGGAGAACAAUUACAAAAAAGACCCAAGAUUAUUGAUAAAAUUACAAAAUAAUACCCACCAGAUUUUUAUUUUUA
This is a long non-coding RNA of Prosopis cineraria, 1023 nucleotides long. RefSeq lists it as uncharacterized. The transcript has 2 exons. Lineage: Eukaryota; Viridiplantae; Streptophyta; Magnoliopsida; Fabales; Fabaceae. The record is from RefSeq and is a predicted model, not a curated record.